GGUAGUUAAGUCAGAAGUGAAAUCCAAUAGCUCAACUAUUGAACUGCUUUUGAAACUGAUUACCUAGAAUAUGGGAGAGGUAGAUGGAAUUUCUGGUAUAGGGGUAAAAUCCGUAGAGAUCAGAAGGAAUACCGAUUGCGAAGGCGAUCUACUGGAACAUUAUUGACGCUGAGGCAUGAAAGCGUGGGGAGCAAACAGGAUUAGAUACCCUGGUAGUCCACGCCCUAAACGAUGCACACUAGUUGUUGCGAUGCUAGUCAUUGCAGUAAUGCACUUAACAGAUUAAGUGUGCCGCCUGGGGAGUACGGUCGCAAGAUUAAAACUCAAAGGAAUAGACGGGGACCCGCACAAGCGGUGGAGCAUGUGGUUUAAUUCGAAGAUACACGAAGAACCUUACCUGGGCUUGAUAUCCUAAGAAUCCUGUAGAGAUAUGGGAGUGCUAGUUUACUAGAACUUAGAGACAGGUGCUGCACGGCUGUCGUCAGCUCGUGUCGUGAGAUGUUGGGUUAAGUCCCGCAACGAGCGCAACCCUCGUGAUUAGUUGCUAACAGUUCGGCUGAGCACUCUAAUCAGACUGCCUUCGCAAGGAGGAGGAAGGUGAGGACGACGUCAAGUCAUCAUGGCCCUUAUGCCCAGGGCUACACACGUGCUACAAUGGCUAGGACAAAGAGAAGCGAUACUGCGAAGUGGAGCAAAUCUUAAAACCUAGUCUCAGUUCGGAUUGGAGUCUGCAACUCGACUCCAUGAAGCUGGAAU
Molecule: ribosomal RNA, 756 nt
Filed under: uncultured Sulfurospirillum sp.
Lineage: Bacteria; Pseudomonadati; Campylobacterota; Epsilonproteobacteria; Campylobacterales; Sulfurospirillaceae
Description: bacterial SSU rRNA
Rfam family: Bacterial small subunit ribosomal RNA
Source: RNAcentral